CACCUGAAAGUUUCUGUUCCUGAUGAAAUGUCUGCAGAUCUAGAAAAGAGAAGACCUGAGCUCAUUCCUGAGGAUCUGCAUCGCCACUAUAUCCAAACUAUGCAAGAAAGAGUCCAUCCAGAAGUUCAAAGGCACUUAGAAGAUUUUCGGCAGAAACGUAGUAUGGGACUGACCUUGGCUGAAAGCGAGCUGACUAAACUUGAUGCAGAGCGAGACAAGGACCGAUUGACUUUGGAGAAGGAGCGGACAUGUGCAGAACAGAUUGUUGCCAAAAUUGAAGAAGUAUUGUAAGUAAUAGAAGUAUAUGUGGAAAUGCCCUCUCUGCUGAGAUACUAGUUAUGCUUGAAGUACCCUUUGGGUAGGUUUAGAAAAACUGUCAGAUUGUGUAUGUGGAGCCGUUUAUUUUGUCAUAGUACUUGAGAAACUGGAUUUUUUUUUUCUUUUUUCUGAUACUUUUAGAUAAAUUUC
This 468-nucleotide small RNA is filed under the name Pan troglodytes (chimpanzee). Its description in RNAcentral is "retained intron". Lineage: Eukaryota; Metazoa; Chordata; Mammalia; Primates; Hominidae. The record is from RNAcentral.